GUGGCUAAGCUAUGCGUAUUAGCUAAGAUCAAAGUGUAGUAUCUGUUCUUAUCAGCUUAAUAUCUGAUACAGUCCCCAUAGGGGGCUCAGUAUAUUAAUCUAUUUUUUGGGACCAGGCGGGUGCUCGGAGCUUGCUCCGACCUCACCACGGGUCGACUCCGCACUGCAUUACAGCGGAGUGCGGCCCAGUGAAU
RNAcentral lists this small nuclear RNA (194 nucleotides) under Cyphomyrmex costatus. Its description in RNAcentral is "U2 spliceosomal RNA". It matches the Rfam family "U2 spliceosomal RNA". Rfam says of the family: U2 is a small nuclear RNA (snRNA) component of the spliceosome (involved in pre-mRNA splicing). Complementary binding between U2 snRNA (in an area lying towards the 5' end but 3' to hairpin I) and the branchpoint sequence (BPS) of the intron results the bulging out of an unpaired adenosine, on the BPS, which initiates a nucleophilic attack at the intronic 5' splice site, thus starting the first of two transesterification reactions that mediate splicing. Lineage: Eukaryota; Metazoa; Arthropoda; Insecta; Hymenoptera; Formicidae. The record is from Rfam by way of RNAcentral.